Molecule: long non-coding RNA, 618 nt
Organism: Vidua macroura (Pin-tailed whydah)
Lineage: Eukaryota; Metazoa; Chordata; Aves; Passeriformes; Viduidae
Exons: 3
Source: RefSeq, a predicted model, not a curated record
CAUUGCACACAUUAUAUUGAGUUUUUCAUCAACCAUCAACCCAAGUCCUUCUCCACAGGGCUGCUCUCAAUUACUUUUCUGCCCAGCCUAGAGAUAAUAUUGCAAUCCAACCAGAGAAAAUAGAGAGGGAGUGGAGAUUAACUGGUGACUUCAUUCAUAUCAUCCCAGAUUUUGGCAGGUUUGCUCUAAAACCAGUAGAGCAUCAUCAAAACAGGGGACGCCACAUUCUCCUGCAUUCUUGCAUCUUCUCCUAAGCCACGACCCGACAUUGCAUACGACCUAUCCCACCGGCGGCUGAAUUAUCGCGCAGAUAAGCUAUGUGCCAAAUGUUCUGCGUCAACAGUGGGAUAUCAUGUUUUGUAAUUCCCAUUCAGAAAGGUGGCUUUGAACGGAAGUUAUUAAGGAGCCACAAGUGGAAUACUUGUGCUAAGUGAGUGUAGUUGGGGUGGGUCCAGCCACUGAAAUGUAAGAAACUCAAGACCAGGAGGCAGUCACCAAGGACAGACCAGCCCAAGGCUCCAGAUGGAAACACACCCAAGAAAAUGAGAAAUCAGAGGUACCUCAAACCAAAGAGCAAAUCAAGAGCAAGGUCAAUAAAUUAAAGAGCUUGCACUGAAA